CGGGGUGAGUAACGCGUGGAGAACCUGCCGUAUACUGGGGGAUAACACUUAGAAAUAGGUGCUAAUACCGCAUAAGCGCACAGCUUCGCAUGAAGCAGUGUGAAAAACUCCGGUGGUAUACGAUGGAUCCGCGUCUGAUUAGCUGGUUGGCGGGGUAAAGGCCCACCAAGGCGACGAUCAGUAGCCGGCCUGAGAGGGUGAACGGCCACAAUGGGACUGAGACACGGCCCAAACUCCUACGGAAGGCAGCAG
This 252-nucleotide ribosomal RNA is filed under the name uncultured bacterium. RNAcentral's name for it is "partial 16S ribosomal RNA". It matches the Rfam family "Bacterial small subunit ribosomal RNA", at positions 100 to 354 of the family's 1533-position model. The record is from RNAcentral.